AGAGUUUGAUCCUGGCUCAGGACGUACGCUAGCGGCGUGUCUGAAACAUGCAAGUCGAACGGGGUUCAGCAAUGGACCCAGUGGCGAACGGGUGCGUAACACGUAAAGAACCUGCCCUGCAGCGGGGGAUAGCCCUGGGAAACCGGGGGUAAUACCGCAUGAGACCUUUCACUCGCAUGAGAGAAAGGGGAAAGGAAGCAGACGAUAGUUUGAUUUCACUGCAGGAGGGCUUUGCGGCCUAUCAGGUAGUUGGGAGGGUAACGGCCUACCAAGCCAAAGACGGGUAGCUGGUCUGAGAGGAUGGUCAGCCACACUGGGACUGAGAUACGGCCCAGACUCCUACGGGGGGCAGCAGUUUAGAAUAUUGUGCAAUGGGCGAAAGCCUGACACAGCGACGCCGCGUGGGUGACGAAGGCCUUCGGGUCGUAAAGCCCUGUUGGUAGGGAUGAGAAGGGACAGUACCUACCGGGGAAGCCCCGGCUAACUACGUGCCAGCAGCUGCGGUAAUACGUAGGGGGCGAGCGUUGUCCGAAGUUACUGGGCGUAAAGCGCACGUAGGCGGCAUGGUAAGUUGCAUGUAAAAGGCGGCAGCUCAACUGCCGAGUGUGGUGCAAGACUGCCAGGCUUGAGGCAAGUAAAAGAAUGUGGAACUCCGAGUGUAGCGGUGGAAUGCGUAGAGAUUCGGAAGAACACCCAUGGCGAAGGCAGCAUUCUGGACUUGACCUGACGCUGAGGAGCGAAAGCCAGGGGAGCAAACGGGAUUAGAUACCCCGGUAGUCCUGGCUGUAAACGAUGGGUACUAGGUGUAGGAGGUAUCGACCCCUUCUGUGCCGAAGCAAACGCAAUAAGUACCCCGCCUGGGGAGUACGGUCGCAAGGCUAAAACUCAAAGGAAUUGACGG
Molecule: ribosomal RNA, 901 nt
Filed under: uncultured bacterium
Lineage: Bacteria
Description: bacterial SSU rRNA
Rfam family: Bacterial small subunit ribosomal RNA
Source: RNAcentral